RNAcentral lists this ribosomal RNA (587 nucleotides) under uncultured bacterium. RNAcentral describes it as "partial 16S ribosomal RNA". It matches the Rfam family "Bacterial small subunit ribosomal RNA", at positions 354 to 937 of the family's 1533-position model. The record is from RNAcentral.
UGGGGGAAUAUUGCGCAAUGGGCGCAAGCCUGAUGCAGCCAUGCCGCGUGUGUGAAGAAGGCCUUCGGGUUGUAAAGCACUUUCAGCGAGGAGGAAGGUGGUGGACUUAAUACGUUCAUCAAUUGACGUUACUCGCAGAAGAAGCACCGGCUAACUCCGUGCCAGCAGCCGCGGUAAUACGGAGGGUGCAAGCGUUAAUCGGAAUUACUGGGCGUAAAGCGCACGCAGGCGGUUUGUUAAGUCAGAUGUGAAAUCCCCGGGCUCAACCUGGGAACUGCAUUUGAAACUGGCAAGCUAGAGUCUCGUAGAGGGGGGUAGAAUUCCAGGUGUAGCGGUGAAAUGCGUAGAGAUCUGGAGGAAUACCGGUGGCGAAGGCGGCCCCCUGGACGAAGACUGACGCUCAGGUGCGAAAGCGCGGGGAGCAAACAGGAUUAGAUACCCUGGUAGUCCACGCUGUAAACGAUGUCGAUUUUGGAGGUUGUGCCCUUGAGGCGUGGCUUCCGGAGCUAACGCGUUAAAUCGACCGCCUGGGGAGUACGGCCGCAAGGUUAAAACUUAAAUGAAUUGACGGGGUCAUAGCUGUUCCU